GACGAACGCUGGCGGCGUGCUUAACACAUGCAAGUCGAGCGGAGCGGCGAACGGGUGAGUAACGCGUGAGUAACUGCCCCCCUCCCUGGGAUAACGGUUGGAACAGGCUGCUAAUACCGGUUAGUGGGGGAUGACUCGCGUCCUAUCAGCUAGGUGGUGGGGUAGUGGCCUACCAAGGCGCCUACGGGUAGCCGGCCUUGGGGGGCGACCGGCCACAUUGGGCUGAGAUACGGCCCAAACUCCUACGGGAGGCAGCAGUGGGGAAUAUUGCACAAUGGGGGAAGCCCUGAUGCAGCAAGGCCGCGCGCGGGAUGACGGCCUUCGUGUUGUAAUCCGCGUUCAGCCAUGACGCGGUAGUGGCAGAAGAAGCACCGGCUAAGUACGUGCCAGCAGCCGCGGUAAUAC
This 405-nucleotide ribosomal RNA is filed under the name uncultured bacterium. Its description in RNAcentral is "partial 16S ribosomal RNA". It matches the Rfam family "Bacterial small subunit ribosomal RNA", at positions 28 to 526 of the family's 1533-position model. The record is from RNAcentral.